UUGACCUCGGAUCAGGUAGGGAUACCCGCUGAACUUAAGCAUAUCAAUAAGCGGAGGAAAAGAAACCAACAGGGAUUGCCUCAGUAACGGCGAGUGAAGCGGCAAGAGCUCAAAUUUGAAAGCUGGCUCCUUCGGGGUCCGCAUUGUAAUUUGCAGAGGAUGCUUCGGGAGCGGCCCCCAUCUAAGUGCCCUGGAACGGGCCGUCAUAGAGGGUGA
Molecule: ribosomal RNA, 216 nt
Rfam family: Eukaryotic large subunit ribosomal RNA